UUCCAGACUCCUACGGGAGGCAGCAGUGGGGAAUCUUCCGCAAUGGGCGAAAGCCUGACGGAGCAACGCCGCGUGAUCGAAUGAAGGCCUUCGGGUUGUAAAGAUCUGUUGACAGGGACGAAUAAGCAAUGCGAAUAGUUUUGUGUAUGACGGUACCUGUUUAGAAAGCUCCGGCUAACUACGUGCCAGCAGCCGCGGUAAUACGUAGGGAGCAAGCGUUGUCCGGAAUUACUGGGCGUAAAGGGCGCGUAGGUGGGCGCUUAAGUCAGGUGUGAAAACUCCGGGCUCAACCUGGAGGCUGCACUUGAAACUGGGUGUCUUGAGGGCAGGAGAGGAAAGUGGAAUUCCUAGUGUAGCGGUGAAAUGCGUAGAUAUCAGGAGGAACACCGGUGGCGAAGGCGGCCUGCUGGACUGCAACUGACGUCGAGGCCCGAAAGCGUGGGGAGCAAACAGGAUUAGAUCCCCCCGUA
RNAcentral lists this ribosomal RNA (470 nucleotides) under uncultured bacterium. RNAcentral's name for it is "bacterial SSU rRNA". It matches the Rfam family "Bacterial small subunit ribosomal RNA", at positions 329 to 792 of the family's 1533-position model. The record is from RNAcentral.